MicroRNA precursor from Rattus norvegicus (Norway rat), 87 nucleotides. Ensembl annotates it as microRNA 124-3. Its record names the gene Mir124-3. The record is from Ensembl. NCBI's taxonomy places the organism in Eukaryota, Metazoa, Chordata, Mammalia, Rodentia, Muridae.
UGAGGGCCCCUCUGCGUGUUCACAGCGGACCUUGAUUUAAUGUCUAUACAAUUAAGGCACGCGGUGAAUGCCAAGAGAGGCGCCUCC